GACGAACGCUGGCGGCGUGCCUAAUACAUGCAAGUUGAGCGAUGAAGCUUGGUGCUUGCACCAAUUUGAAGAGCAGCGAACGGGUGAGUAACGCGUGGGGAAUCUGCCUUUGAGCGGGGGACAACAUUUGGAAACGAAUGCUAAUACCGCAUAACAACUUUAAACAUAAGUUUUAAGUUUGAAAGAUGCAAUUGCAUCACUCAAAGAUGAUCCCGCGUUGUAUUAGCUAGUUGGUGAGGCAAAGGCUCACCAAGGCGAUGAUACAUAGCCGACCUGAGAGGGUGAUCGGCCACAUUGGGACUGGGACACGGCCCAAACUCCUACGGGAGGCAGCAGUAGGGAAUCUUCGGCAAUGGACGAAAGUCUGACCGAGCAACGCCGCGUGAGUGAAGAAGGUUUUCGGAUCGUAAAACUCUGUUGGUAGAGAAGAACGUUGGUGAGAGUGGAAAGCUCAUCAAGUGACGGUAACUACCCAGAAAGGGACGGCUAACUGCGUG
RNAcentral lists this ribosomal RNA (497 nucleotides) under uncultured bacterium. Its description in RNAcentral is "partial 16S ribosomal RNA". It matches the Rfam family "Bacterial small subunit ribosomal RNA", at positions 28 to 507 of the family's 1533-position model. The record is from RNAcentral.